AGUGAACGCUGGCGGUAGGCCUAACACAUGCAAGUCGAACGGCAGCACAGGAGAGCUUGCUCUCUAGGUGGCGAGUGGCGGACGGGUGAGGAAUACAUCGGAAUCUGCCCAGUCGUGGGGGAUAACGUAGGGAAACUUACGCUAAUACCGCAUACGACCUUCGGGUGAAAGAGGGGGAUCGCAAGACCUCCCGCGUUUGGAUGAGCCGAUGUCGGAUUAGCUAGUUAGCGGGGUAAUGGCCCACCAAGGCGACGAUCCGUAGCUGGUCUGAGAGGAUGAUCAGCCACACUGGAACUGAGACACGGUCCAGACUCCUACGGGAGGCAGCAGUGGGGAAUAUUGGACAAUGGGCGCAAGCCUGAUCCAGCCAUACCGCGUGAGUGAAGAAGGCCUUCGGGUUGUAAAGCCCUUUUGUUAGGAAAGAAAUCUUUCAGGCUAAUACCCUGGGAGGAUGACGGUACCCAAAGAAUAAGCACCGGCUAACUUCGUG
Molecule: ribosomal RNA, 490 nt
Filed under: uncultured bacterium
Lineage: Bacteria
Description: partial 16S ribosomal RNA
Rfam family: Bacterial small subunit ribosomal RNA
Source: RNAcentral